Molecule: ribosomal RNA, 615 nt
Filed under: uncultured bacterium
Lineage: Bacteria
Description: bacterial SSU rRNA
Rfam family: Bacterial small subunit ribosomal RNA (bases 1-522)
Source: RNAcentral
CCUACGGGAGGCAGCAGUGGGGAAUCUUGCGCAAUGGGCGAAAGCCUGACGCAGCAACGCCGCGUGAGGGACGAAGGUUUUCUGAAUUGUAAACCUCUUUCAGCAGGGAAGAUAAUGACGGUACCUGCAGAAGAAGCACCGGCUAACUACGUGCCAGCAGCCGCGGUGAUACGUAGGGUGCAAGCGUUGUCCGGAUUUAUUGGGCGUAAAGAGCUCGUAGGCGGUUUGGUAAGUCGGUUGUGAAAUCCCCAGGCUCAACCUGGGGCCUGCAUUCGAUACUACCAUGACUAGAGUUUGGUAGGGGACCACGGAAUUCCUGGUGUAGCGGUGGAAUGCGCAGAUAUCAGGAGGAACACCAGUAGCGAAGGCGGUGGUCUGGGCCAAUACUGACGCUGAGGAGCGAAAGCGUGGGGAGCAAACAGGAUUAGAUACCCUGGUAGUCCACGCCGUAAACGGUGGGCGCUAGGUGUGGGGACUAUUCAACGGUUUCCGCGCCGACGCUAACGCAUUAAGUGCCCCGCCGUCGGGUAGGUACGGCCGCGACGGACGUAAACCUACAAACGGAAAGUUAGACGGCGUGAGACGUCGCCGACGGACGACCGACGAGGGAGUAGG